UAUGAGGAAGAAGGUUAAGUUGGCUGUGC
This 29-nucleotide non-coding RNA is filed under the name Mus musculus (house mouse). Lineage: Eukaryota; Metazoa; Chordata; Mammalia; Rodentia; Muridae. The record is from RNAcentral.